RNAcentral lists this ribosomal RNA (484 nucleotides) under uncultured bacterium. RNAcentral's name for it is "bacterial SSU rRNA". It matches the Rfam family "Bacterial small subunit ribosomal RNA", at positions 30 to 507 of the family's 1533-position model. The record is from RNAcentral.
AUUGAACGCUGGCGGCAUGCCUUACACAUGCAAGUCGAACGGCAGCACGGGGGCAACCCUGGUGGCGAGUGGCGAACGGGUGAGUAAUGCAUCGGAAUGUACCCAGUAGUGGGGGAUAACCAGUCGAAAGAUUGGCUAAUACCGCAUACGCACUAUGGUGGAAAGCGGGGGACCGUAAGGCCUCGCGCUAUUGGAGCAGCCGAUGUCCGAUUAGGUAGUUGGUGGGGUAAUGGCCCACCAAGCCUGCGAUCGGUAACUGGUCUGAGAGGACGACCAGUCACACUGGGACUGAGACACGGCCCAGACUCCUACGGGAGGCAGCAGUGGGGAAUUUUGGACAAUGGGCGCAAGCCUGAUCCAGCAAUGCCGCGUGUGUGAAGAAGGCCUUCGGGUUGUAAAGCACUUUUGGCAGGAAAGAAAUCGUGCGUGCUAAUACCAUGCGCGGAUGACGGUACCUGCAGAAUAAGCACCGGCUAACUACGUG